Molecule: transfer RNA, 135 nt
Filed under: Cyrtodactylus sp. DSI-2020
Lineage: Eukaryota; Metazoa; Chordata; Lepidosauria; Squamata; Gekkonidae
Description: partial tRNA-Tyr
Source: RNAcentral
CGGGCAGUCAUUUCAGGUAGGGUGGCCGAGUAGGUGGCAAGUUGUAGCCUUGUUCACGGGGCUUAGCCCCCCCCAGCCCCGUGAAAGACCAAAGUGCAAAUUUGGAGAAGCACCCCAUAAAGGGUGCCGGGGCUU